Molecule: ribosomal RNA, 377 nt
Filed under: uncultured eukaryote
Lineage: Eukaryota
Description: partial 18S ribosomal RNA
Rfam family: Eukaryotic small subunit ribosomal RNA
Source: RNAcentral
CAAUAGCGUAUAUUAAAGUUGUUGCGGUUAAAAAGCUCGUAGUUGGAUUUCGGGUGGGACGCAGCGGUCUCGCAUUGCGUUUGUACUGCUGCAGCCCUCCUUCUUGCCGGGGGCGGCCUCUCGGACUUCACUGUCUGGGGGUCAGAAUCGGCGAUGUUACUUUGAGUAAAUUAGAGUGUUCAAAGCAAGCUUACGCUCUGAAUAUAAUAGCAUGGGAUAACACGACAGGACUCUGGCCUAUCGUGUUGGUCUAUAGGACCAGAGUAAUGAUUAAGAGGGACAGUCGGGGGCAUUCGUAUUCCGUUGUCAGAGGUGAAAUUCUUGGAUUUACGGAAGACGAACAUCUGCGAAAGCAUUUGCCAAGGAUGUUUUCAUUG